AUUGAACGCUGGCGGCAGGCCUAACACAUGCAAGUCGAACGGUAACAGGAAGAAGCUUGCUUCUUUGCUGACGAGUGGCGGACGGGUGAGUAAUGUCUGGGAAACUGCCUGAUGGAGGGGGAUAACUACUGGAAACGGUAGCUAAUACCGCAUAAUGUCGCAAGACCAAAGAGGGGGACCUUCGGGCCUCUUGCCAUCGGAUGUGCCCAGAUGGGAUUAGCUAGUAGGUGGGGUAACGGCUCACCUAGGCGACGAUCCCUAGCUGGUCUGAGAGGAUGACCAGCCACACUGGAACUGGGACACGGUCCAGACUCCUACGGGAGGCAGCAGUGGGGAAUAUUGCACAAUGGGCGCAAGCCUGAUGCAGCUAUGCCGCGUGUAUGAAGAAGGCCUUCGGGUUGUAAAGUACUUUCAGCGGGGAGGAAGGGAGUAAAGUUAAUACCUUUGCUCAUUGACGUUACCCGCAGAAGAAGCACCGGCUAACUCCGUG
Molecule: ribosomal RNA, 490 nt
Filed under: uncultured bacterium
Lineage: Bacteria
Description: partial 16S ribosomal RNA
Rfam family: Bacterial small subunit ribosomal RNA
Source: RNAcentral